RNAcentral lists this ribosomal RNA (465 nucleotides) under uncultured bacterium. RNAcentral's name for it is "partial 16S ribosomal RNA". It matches the Rfam family "Bacterial small subunit ribosomal RNA", at positions 338 to 795 of the family's 1533-position model. The record is from RNAcentral.
CCUACGGGAGGCAGCCGUAGGGAAUCUUCCACAAUGGGCGCAAGCCUGAUGGAGCAACACCGCGUGAGUGAAGAAGGGUUUCGGCUCGUAAAGCUCUGUUGUUGGAGAAGAACGUGCGUGAGAGUAACUGUUCACGCAGUGACGGUAUCCCACCAGAAAGUCACGGCUAACUACGUGCCAGCAGCCGCGGUAAUACGUAGGUGGCAAGCGUUAUCCGGAUUUAUUGGGCGUAAAGCGAGCGCAGGCGGUUGCUUAGGUCUGAUGUGAAAGCCUUCGGCUUAACCGAAGAAGUGCAUCGGAAACCGGGCAACUUGAGUGCAGAAGAGGACAGUGGAACUCCAUGUGUAGCGGUGGAAUGCGUAGAGAUAUGGAAGAACACCAGUGGCGAAGGCGGCUGUCUGGUCUGCAACUGACGCUGAGGCUCGAAAGCAUGGGUAGCGAACAGGAUUAGAUACCCCAGUAGUC